This 246-nucleotide long non-coding RNA is filed under the name Volvox carteri. Its description in RNAcentral is "long non-coding RNA (VCAR_LNC001529)". The record is from RNAcentral. Lineage: Eukaryota; Viridiplantae; Chlorophyta; Chlorophyceae; Chlamydomonadales; Volvocaceae.
ACAACUUGCAGACUCAACAUCUUAACAAUGACCGAACCGGGUUAACCCGGUCGGUCUAUUUACCUUCAAUAACUUGUCUGAGAACAAAGACAUCAAAAUGGCUCGCAACAGUUCAACGGAUCAGGCCGCCGGUGUGACGGCGGAACGAUCCGAAGCAACCAUAUCAAUUUCCCUUCUUAGGGAAAUUACGAAGAUGGAGCAACCUUUUGGACAACUUCGUUCGCUCGCAAUGAGAGCACUUUUUCA